This is a long non-coding RNA of Notothenia coriiceps (black rockcod), 883 nucleotides long. RefSeq lists it as uncharacterized. Lineage: Eukaryota; Metazoa; Chordata; Actinopteri; Perciformes; Nototheniidae. The record is from RefSeq and is a predicted model, not a curated record. The transcript has 3 exons.
CACCCUGUUCACCAUACACAGCCUGUGAGUCUCUGUUAGGGUUAAGGUGUUCAGUGCUCUGCUCUAACAAAAGUCUGCUCUACAAAAAAGAAAAGAUUCGACCCGACAGAGAGGCGACUCUGAAAGCAAAGGCUCUGAUCCAUCAGUCCUCACGCUAUUGUACUCCACUUGCCUUUUGUUGAAAAAAAAAACCAAACAAACAUCAUGGGAACAUUUCAAGAUGAGGACUUGGAUUGGGAUGAGAAGAGCAACGACACGAGGCGGACUCAGCCUCCGAAAUACGAGGAGACGGAGACUAAAAGCUCCGGGAGGAAGUGUCCCACGUGCUGCCUGAAGACAAGGAACUGUCUGAUGAGUGGAGAGUGCGGCAGAUGCCUUCAGAUCUCCAGCGUCAUCGCCAUGUGUGGCAUGUGCAUCCGCAUGUUCGUGUGACCUAACCUUGGGCUUCAUAACCUGCUUUUCCCGGAUCAUCAUCACUAUCACGCUUUACGAGUGAUGCCACGUGGUUUUCUUAUGAUCUGCUAACAGUUGUCUUUUUAAUUCUUUAUCCACAAGGUAUUCAUUUCACAUGAUCACUGCCUGUGUUUAGAACAACUUAGAAAGUCAUUAUGAAGGAAUGAAUGAGUAGAUGAAUGAGCAUGUUUGAUUGAUCAUGUAUGAUGGAUCUAUAUUUAGUAAAAUCAGAUUUCUUUAUUUAUAUUUUUAGGUACGAAAAUUGCAAUAAAAUAUAAAAACUAAUAUGAUGGAUAAAAAAGUUAUUCGGUUUAUGCUACAGUGUAAAACAUUUUCUCUUACAAUAUGAGUGAGAGGGUUUUGGUGAGAAAAAAAUGACAUAUCUGAACAAAUGCAAAACUUUGAAUAAAGCUUCAAGUAACAACAAGAA